UAACCAAAUUGUUUGUUCAGAAUUAUGACUCUUAUAUUCAAACAAUAAUCUGUGCAAGUAAUGACAUGGAUGCAUAUGACUUUUUUUAAAAAUAAAAUAUUCUUGUGCUGAUGAUGCUAUAUAUAUGAACCCUUCUUCUUCAACUUUUUGUGUGUGUGUCAUUGCUAAGAACAACUGCAAAGAUGCUUAUAUCUAGCAGCACUUGAAGGUUAUCUCAAAAUUUCCUAA
This 228-nucleotide long non-coding RNA is filed under the name Elaeis guineensis (African oil palm). Its description in RNAcentral is "long non-coding RNA (EGUI_LNC071707)". Lineage: Eukaryota; Viridiplantae; Streptophyta; Magnoliopsida; Arecales; Arecaceae. The record is from RNAcentral.